Molecule: long non-coding RNA, 338 nt
Organism: Ornithodoros turicata
Lineage: Eukaryota; Metazoa; Arthropoda; Arachnida; Ixodida; Argasidae
Exons: 3
Source: RefSeq, a predicted model, not a curated record
ACGCUCAAGCAGGUCACUCUUCCUGCCAUCGUUAUGGAAGUCCUGCUGACAUUCUCGGCGUUCGGAAUCCAGGCUUCCAACGGCAAACGCACAUCCCUUGCUGUGCUUCAUGGCAUACGAUUCCUGUCAAUGGCCUGGAUCAUAUUUGGACACAGUUACUUUUUUAUAGAGAGCGUCCAACCCUUUCGCGGACUGUUCAACGGUCACGAAAUGUACUCCGACAACUUUUUCUUCUCCGGCAUCAUAAACUUUACGCUGGGUGUGGACUCGUUUUUUCUGAUAAGUGGCUUACUCGUAGUGUACACUUCCUGGAGAGAGCUCGAGGAAAAUGACGGAAG